GUGAAGCAUGAGCAAUUCUACGGUCUUUCAGGAGGUACCAUGAGGUACCAAAAAUAUAGUGUAAAAUUUGGUACCUCAUAGUAUCUAGGUACCAAGACUUACCAAAUUUAUAAUAGAAAAAGUGGUACCUCAUGGUAUCUCCUCAAGGACCGUAAAAUUGCUCAUCCAAU
RNAcentral lists this unclassified non-coding RNA (170 nucleotides) under Oryza sativa (Asian cultivated rice). RNAcentral's name for it is "partial microRNA MIR440b-10 precursor". Lineage: Eukaryota; Viridiplantae; Streptophyta; Magnoliopsida; Poales; Poaceae. The record is from RNAcentral.